UGACAAAUAUGUGCCUCGCCUAUUAAAACUCUACUGGGCAAAGAAGGGAACAUUUGGUCCAGCGAUGGAAGACCUCCUGGAUAAGCUUGAUGAAGAGACAAGUGACAUUGCAUCUCAACGAAAGACAACAGCUCUGAGAGGACUACCCAUCUUCAUCCGUGAGGACACGUCAAAGUUUUUCUUGAAGUGUUUGCAGACUGACCCUGCGGAUGCUGUGGUCCGAGGUGUGUCUGUUGGCAUUCUGACUGUCUAUGAAGAUGA
Molecule: long non-coding RNA, 261 nt
Organism: Alosa sapidissima (American shad)
Lineage: Eukaryota; Metazoa; Chordata; Actinopteri; Clupeiformes; Clupeidae
Exons: 3
Source: RefSeq, a predicted model, not a curated record